Molecule: long non-coding RNA, 395 nt
Organism: Brassica oleracea var. oleracea
Lineage: Eukaryota; Viridiplantae; Streptophyta; Magnoliopsida; Brassicales; Brassicaceae
Exons: 2
Source: RefSeq, a predicted model, not a curated record
UGCAAUACAAUUACAUCCAUUCAUUUCUCUUGUAUCACACAAAAUGGCUAAAAACACAAUUUUUGCUAUCUUUAUGAUCGUUCUUGUUCUAGGGAUGGGGAUGAAGGACACACAAGGACAACAAUUGUGUCAUGAACGAUUUAUAGGAGCAACCCCUUGUGUACCUCCACAGUGUGCCGAACAAUGUACUGCAAAGUGGGGAGAGAGAGCGGGAAGAGGGACAUGUCUAGGAGGGCCAGGACCCGCCAAUACCUGCCUCUGCACUUUUAAAUGCCAAAUUUGAUACUUUUUUUUGUUACUGUCAUCAGAUAUAUUGUAAUAAAAUAAUGGGUUGGAAAAAAAAGAAUAUAGAAAAAAAAAAUUUUAGUUUAAUGGGACUUUGAAUUUUUAUCUCA